Molecule: ribosomal RNA, 274 nt
Filed under: uncultured bacterium
Lineage: Bacteria
Description: partial 16S ribosomal RNA
Rfam family: Bacterial small subunit ribosomal RNA
Source: RNAcentral
AUACAGAGGGUGCGAGCGUUAAUCGGAAUUACUGGGCGUAAAGCGCGCGUAGGCGGCUUGGCCAGUCGGAUGUGAAAGCCCCGGGCUCAACCUGGGAAUGGCAUUCGAUACUGCCAGGCUAGAGUAUGGGAGAGGGAAGUGGAAUUUCCGGUGUAGCGGUGAAAUGCGUAGAUAUCGGAAGGAACACCAGUGGCGAAGGCGACUUCCUGGCCCAAUACUGACGCUGAGGUGCGAAAGCGUGGGGAGCGAACAGGAUUAGAAACCCUAGUAGUCC